RNAcentral lists this unclassified non-coding RNA (148 nucleotides) under uncultured Sordariomycetes. RNAcentral's name for it is "sequence contains ITS1". Lineage: Eukaryota; Fungi; Ascomycota; Sordariomycetes. The record is from RNAcentral.
CCGAGUGAAAACUCACCAAACCAUUGUCUAUUUACUCUAUUUACACUUCUCCGGCAGGCGGUUCCAGGGCGGGACCGAGCCUUAUGGCACCUGCCGAAGGGGUACCCAACUGCUCUAUAUUAUACUGUCUGAGAAAAAAAAAUUAUCA